UUCCCCAUGGUGUAACGGCAGCACAACGGUCUUUGGAACCGUUAGCCUAGGUUCGAAUCCUGGUGGGGAAG
RNAcentral lists this transfer RNA (71 nucleotides) under Enterococcus sp. RNAcentral's name for it is "tRNA-Gln". It matches the Rfam family "tRNA". From Rfam's summary of the family: Transfer RNA (tRNA) molecules are approximately 80 nucleotides in length. Their secondary structure includes four short double-helical elements and three loops (D, anti-codon, and T loops). The record is from RNAcentral. Lineage: Bacteria; Bacillati; Bacillota; Bacilli; Lactobacillales; Enterococcaceae.